UACAGAGGGGGCAAGCGUUGUUCGGAAUUACUGGGCGUAAAGGGCGUGUAGGCGGCCAACUAAGUCAGACGUGAAAUCCCCUGGCUCAACCAGGGAACUGCGUCUGAUACUGGAUGGCUUGAAUCCGGGAGAGGGAUGUGGAAUUCCAGGUGUAGCGGUGAAAUGCGUAGAUAUCUGGAGGAACACCGGUGGCGAAGGCGGCAUCCUGGACCGGUAUUGACGCUGAGGCGCGAAAGCCAGGGGAGCAAACGGG
RNAcentral lists this ribosomal RNA (253 nucleotides) under uncultured bacterium. Its description in RNAcentral is "partial 16S ribosomal RNA". It matches the Rfam family "Bacterial small subunit ribosomal RNA", at positions 524 to 776 of the family's 1533-position model. The record is from RNAcentral.